RNAcentral lists this non-coding RNA (103 nucleotides) under Burkholderia sp. RNAcentral's name for it is "Glycine sequence". It matches the Rfam family "Glycine riboswitch aptamer". From Rfam's summary of the family: This family represents the bacterial glycine riboswitch. Glycine riboswitches usually consist of two metabolite-binding aptamers domains with similar structures in tandem. The record is from RNAcentral. Lineage: Bacteria; Pseudomonadati; Pseudomonadota; Betaproteobacteria; Burkholderiales; Burkholderiaceae.
CCGCACGCGUCGGGAGAGCGCGCUGGCCGCUGAAAAAUCGCAGGCCGCGCCGCCGAAGGGGCACACCCGCAAACUCUCAGGCAAAAGGACCGACCGCGUCGAA